UGAACUCACAGAAAUAUGCGUGCCUCU
This 27-nucleotide non-coding RNA is filed under the name Rattus norvegicus (Norway rat). Lineage: Eukaryota; Metazoa; Chordata; Mammalia; Rodentia; Muridae. The record is from RNAcentral.